CCUACGGGCGGCAGCAGUCGAGAAUCAUUCACAAUGGGGGAAACCCUGAUGGUGCGACGCCGCGUGGGGGAAUGAAGGUCUUCGGAUUGUAAACCCCUGUCAUGUGGGAGCAAAUUAAAAAGAUAGUACCACAAGAGGAAGAGACGGCGAACUCUGUGCCAGCAGCCGCGGUAAUACAGAGGUCUCAAGCGUUGUUCGGAAUCACUGGGCGUAAAGCGUGCGUAGGCUGGUUCGUAAGUCGUGUGUGAAAGGCGCGGGCUCAACGCGCGGACGGCACAUGAUACUGGGAGACUAGAGUAAAGGAGAGGGAAGUGGAAGUCGCGGUGUAGCAGUGAAAUGCGUAGAUA
RNAcentral lists this ribosomal RNA (347 nucleotides) under uncultured bacterium. RNAcentral's name for it is "partial 16S ribosomal RNA". It matches the Rfam family "Bacterial small subunit ribosomal RNA", at positions 338 to 696 of the family's 1533-position model. The record is from RNAcentral.